UACGUAGGUGACCAGCGUUGUCCGGAUUUACUGGGCGUAAAGGGCGCGUAGGCGGUCAGCACAAGUCAGUUGUGAAAUCUCCGGGCUUAACUCGGAAAGGUCAACUGAUACUGUGCGACUAGAGUGCGGAAGGGGCAACUGGAAUUCUCGGUGUAGCGGUGAAAUGCGUAGAUAUCGAGAGGAACACCUGCGGCGAAGGCGGGUUGCUGGGCCGACACUGACGCUGAUGCGCGAAAGCCAGGGGAGCGAACGGG
Molecule: ribosomal RNA, 254 nt
Filed under: uncultured bacterium
Lineage: Bacteria
Description: partial 16S ribosomal RNA
Rfam family: Bacterial small subunit ribosomal RNA
Source: RNAcentral